GGGGGCGGGGGAGUCGGCCUCGCCAGUGCGCAUGCGCGAGGCCCAAGCCGCCGCUUGGGUCACAGUGAAAGCCACCGUUGCCCGGGGAUGGGUCCCUGACACUUGGCGAAGUAGGAGCCCUGUGUGAUCGUGCGUCUGAGUCUGGGCUGAGACCAGUCCUGGUCAGGGCAGUUACCAGGACGGUUUCCGGAGGCCGGGAUUCGCGGAGGGUCCACCAGCAGGAAGAAACGCCAGGAGGAAGAAAACUCAGACAGAUCGCCGGCGAGGCAGCGCGGCAUCCCAGCCUCAGGCGUGCGCGGACGGUGUGCGGGAGGGUGCCCGCAGAGCUUCAAGAAGGU
This 338-nucleotide long non-coding RNA is filed under the name Homo sapiens (human). RNAcentral's name for it is "HSALNT0397786". The record is from RNAcentral. Lineage: Eukaryota; Metazoa; Chordata; Mammalia; Primates; Hominidae.